Molecule: transfer RNA, 70 nt
Filed under: Liolaemus monticola
Lineage: Eukaryota; Metazoa; Chordata; Lepidosauria; Squamata
Description: tRNA-Gln
Source: RNAcentral
UUAGAAGGACAGGACUCGAACCCGUACCUAGAAGCUCAAAACCUCCAGCACUCCAUUAUACUACCCUCUA